This 71-nucleotide transfer RNA is filed under the name Tuber melanosporum (Perigord truffle). RNAcentral describes it as "tRNA-Gln (TTG) (tRNA-Gln-TTG-3-1)". It matches the Rfam family "tRNA". From Rfam's summary of the family: Transfer RNA (tRNA) molecules are approximately 80 nucleotides in length. Their secondary structure includes four short double-helical elements and three loops (D, anti-codon, and T loops). Further hydrogen bonds mediate the characteristic L-shaped molecular structure. tRNAs have two regions of fundamental functional importance: the anti-codon, which is responsible for specific mRNA codon recognition, and the 3' end, to which the tRNAs corresponding amino acid is attached (by aminoacyl-tRNA synthetases). tRNAs cope with the degeneracy of the genetic code in two manners: having more than one tRNA (with a specific anti-codon) for a particular amino acid; and 'wobble' base-pairing, i.e. permitting non-standard base-pairing at the 3rd anti-codon position. The record is from RNAcentral. Lineage: Eukaryota; Fungi; Ascomycota; Pezizomycetes; Pezizales; Tuberaceae.
GGUUUGUAGCGUGAUGGCUAGCGCUCGGGAUUUUGAUUCCCGCAAUCUGGGUUCGAUCCCCAGCUUGACCU